Lactuca sativa (garden lettuce) is the source of this 5412-nucleotide non-coding RNA. The record is from RefSeq and is a predicted model, not a curated record. Lineage: Eukaryota; Viridiplantae; Streptophyta; Magnoliopsida; Asterales; Asteraceae.
CUUUAAUGGGUCCAUCGAUCCACCGCCUCUAUCAUCGGCUUCUAAACCUCACACUCUUAACACUUCUCGAUGUCUCCUCCAUCUUCUCCACCGAUCACCUUCUCCAAUCGAGAUUCUCCACCGCCUUCAUCUGCUGAGCUUCUUUAAUCACAUACAAAGAUUAUCCACCGCCUUAUCCUCCAUCGACUCCACCUCUGGUCACCUCCUCUUCUCCUAAUCAAAUAGCACCGAUCGGAACUGUGUCUGCAACGUCUUCGUCGGUUUCCACAUGUGAAAAAAUAAUCGCUCACCACAAACCGAAUCUCGACCUCAAGUCGAAGCUCAAGAUUAGGGCUUUAUUUUGCUAGAUUACAAUUUUUUGGAUUUCCCGUGGAAUGGAAAUGGAUUCUUAGCGAGACUGGGAGUAAGAGAGACGGGUUGUUGGACAAUCAUAGGUUUUCCAAAAUCCAGAUGUCGAUGUGGCGAAUGGGGGAGUUUCUUUGGACUUGAAAAGUUACUGUCAACAAACCUUCCAGAGGCAACAACCAACAAGAAAUGAGAGGUGUGGUUAUGUUUAGCAGAUCGCUUUCUACCUACAAGCUGAAGGGUAUUUGGGUCAAUGUGUUUUGCCCUGAGUUUAUUCAAAGUGAUAUGGCUGAAAAAGUGAGUUAGUUUAUUGAAAACAUAGGAGGCUAUGUUUCCAUGGAUACAUUGAUUCAAGGUAUCCUCUUUUACUUCAUUAUAGGAUAGAAAAAAAAGACAUUUUUAAAACGCUAAAUGCAAAAACAGCCAAGACUGCCAAACAGAGUAUGUAUUGACCAAAGAGAAGGUUGACCUUUUGAAAUUGGAGUUUAAAAGAGAUGAGUUGCCGUUACUGAGGAGAGGGAUCGAUUGAAAACUGUUGUUCAUCAGUUAUAAUUGAAUCUCAUUCUAUUUGGGAUUGAUUUUUCUUUUAUCAUAUUAGAUCUCCUAAUUAAUGUCAUCUCAUUUGUCAACCUAUUGGCUCAUCAUUUCAAAUUUUAAAUUUAAAAUUUUUUACUCUAAUUACAUUAAAUUGAUAACAUUACAAUAAAAAUUAGAGUAAAUUACACAAAUGGUCCCUAUGGUUUAGGGUAUUUUGCGAGCUUGGUCCCUAACUUAUUUGUUUAACUCGGAAGAUCCUUGGUAUUUGUUUUUGUUACGUGUUUAGACCCUACUGUUUGUUUUUGUUAUGCGUUUGAUCAAUGUGUUACCAAAAAAGACUAUUAUUUAAAUAGGAAAAAAUGUUGGGUAGGUAAGGUAAGGUGAGGAAAAAAUGUUGGGGUUGUGGGUGUGUUUAUUUAAAUAAACUAAAAAAUCAAUGGCAAAAUAGAUUUUUUAGGUAAGACAGGGACCAAGCGUAUAACAAAAACAAACAGUAGGGAUCUUCCGAGUUAAAAAAAUAAGUUAGGGAUCAAACGCGAUAUUACCCUAAACCAUACAUUCGUGUAAUUUACUUUAAAAUUAAAAUAAAAUCAAUAAAUAUUAUAAGGUGAUAUAAUUUCAUGUAUUUAUUUAGAUCAACGAUUAUAAUUUUAUAUAACUAAAAAAAUAUCUCUUAGUUAAUAAUUUAUUAAUAAUGAACUUUGUUUCUUGAGAACAUUUGAGAUGAUGAUGAGUUCAUUUAAACUCUUUUGUUAUUUAUUGAUGUCUUGGACGGUAAGAUAACUAGAAGGGAUAGGUAGGCAUUUGAAUUAGACAAUGACCAGAAGUCGUGAUUGGAGCGUUGGAAGUAGUUCAUAACCUCCGAUAGACUUUUCUCAUGAGUUUUUAUCCAUAUUAGUGUUAUACAUAAAACUAUUUUCCAUUCUAGUAUACAUUCAAAACUAUUUACCUUAUUAGUAUUAUUUUGAAUUUAAAACUAUUAUUAUUGUUUUUUAUUAUUAAAAAAUAUAUAAUAAAAAAAAAUAACGCUCCCUAUAUGCUCUGGAACAGAACAACGUACAAAAAAAAAAAAAAACGAAAACAGUUAGGGCUUCAAUCGUCUUCUUCAGCCAACGGCUUCAUCCGCCAUAGCCAGCCGUCUGUGUCUUCUUCCUCCUACACUGGCCACCUACCUGCAACCUCUUCUGCCCGUCGCCGCCCUCCUACCGCCUCCAUAAACUCGCCGGUUUCAAGGCAUGCAACCUAUUUUCCUUCUCGUUUUUUGUAGUUUUUUCUGUUUAAUUCAUUGCACUCUCAUUUUUUCUUGAUUUUGAUCCUUCUCCACCGAAUUGAAGAUCAAGUUCUGCAUCUGUUUGAUUUUUUUGUAUAUGUCACAGCUUGUUUUUUGAUGUUUUUAGAUGGAAUUGGUUGCAAUUGUUACUUCUGUUUCUUUUUUCUUGUUGUCAUAUAUAAUAUGAUAAAUUUUUGAUUAGUUGUUGUUUCUUUCUUCUUGUUGUCAUAGAUGAUAUAAUCAAAUUUUGAUCAGUUUUUGUUUCUUUUUUCUUGUUGUCAUAGAUGAUAUAAGCAAUUUUUUAUUAGUUUUUGUUUCUUUUUUCUUGUUGUCAUAGAUGACAUGAUGAGUUUUUUUAUUAGUUUUUGUUUGUUUUUAUUUGUUUUGUAGAUGAAUUCUAUUAGUUUUUUAUUAGUUUUUGUUUGUUCUUAUUUGUUUUGUAGAUGAAUUCUAUUAUAGACAUGAUUGACAAUGAUGAUUUUUCUAUAAUCUCUCAAGCUGCUGUUAUAACUAAUCCUCUCUAAUAAAUGAAGGUUUUUUUUUCACUUGUCACACUCUCAUGCAUUAUGUCACAUGUCAUUUUGUCAUAAUUUUGAGAUAUUUAUUUAGUUUCAAUAAAUUAAACAUACCAUAAUAACUAUAUUAAUUUCAAGUUUUAAAUUUCAAAUUUCAAACUUCAAUUUCAAUUUUAAAUAAAUUUACAAUUGAAACAUUCGUAUUUAAAAUUUCGUUAUAAUUAACACAUUUAAUAUACGGGUCUGACAACUAAACACAUAAUUUUAAUUUAAUUUUUUCAUUUUUUAUAAUUUAUACUUAUUUCAAAUUUCAAAUUCCAAUAAAAUUUCCUAUUUAAUAAUUUGUAUUUACCAUUUUGUUUUAAUCAACCCGUAUAUAAUACGGGUAUUACAACUAGUAUGAUGAAUAUAGACAAUGAAAAUGAGUUACAUGAAAAUUUGGAAGAUGAAAUUGGAGAGGAAAAUGAUGAAGAAGCACCUUUUGACAACAAUGUUGAAGUACCUUCAAUUUUUACUAAUAUGGAAGGAACAAAUUUGAAUAUUGAUGACAAUUGGAUUGUGUCGCAAUCAACGAGUAAGAAUGAUUUCAUACGAGAGUUGGGAAAAGAUUCUUUCAAGGAUAAAUAAGAACUUGUUAGAGCAAUCAAGAUCCAUUGCAUUAGGACACAUAGACAAUUUGAGGUCAUUGACUCACGCCCAACUAUUUUGACUCUAAGAUGCAAGUUAUACUUACAAUCUGGUUGCAAAUGGAAACUUCAUGCAAGUAAACGUAAACGUAGUGGAUAUUUUGAAAUCACAACUUAUACCGGUCUACAUACUUGUUUGCACUAUAAGCUUUCUCAAGAUCAUCCGAACCUAGAUGCAAGCUUGAUUGCUAUGGAAACUAGGCACCUUAUAAAAGCACAACCUUCUAUCAGUAUUCCUGCUUUGAGAGCUGAAAUAGUUGAAACACUAGGCUAUACUCCUUCAUAUAAGAAGGUUUGGGUUGGAAAGCAAAAAGCAAUUGAACAUGUGUCUGGAAAUUGGGAAGAGUCUUAUGUCGCUUUACCAAAAUAUCUAGGUGCACUUCAAAAGUUCAAUCUAGGAACUAUUGUUGAAUGGUGUGUUUCAAGAUCAACCGAUGUAGAUGAAGUUGAAUUUAGGCGUGCUUUUUUGGGCUUUUGCUCCCUCUAUCAAAGGGUUUCAUUAUUGUCGACCGGUGAUUAGCAUUGAUGGUACACACUUGUAUGGUAAAUACACAGGUAAGAUGCUCAUUGCAAUGGGAGUUGAUGGUAAUAAUCAGAUUUUGCCACUUGCAUUUGCUAUUGUAGAAAAUGAAUCUGAUGAUACUUGGAAUUGGUUUCUUUCUCAUGUUAAGAAUCAUGUGGUGAAAGACCGUGAAGGCAUAUGUCUAAUAUCUGAUCGUCAUGGGGGAAUCCUUAAGGCUGUCAAUGAGCAUGGAUCUCCAUGGUUAGAGUCACGUGGUUUUCAUAGGUAUUAUUAUAUUUCUUAAUUAUUCUUUUUAUGACAUUUCAAAAACUUGCUUCAUUAACUUACAUUUUUUUUUAUUUUAAAUGUAUUGUUUACGACAUUUCAUCAACAACUUUUAUGACAAAUUUCGUAAUUCAAAAUUGAAAGUUUUAGCUUAUCGUGUCGGGAGUCAGAAUCAAAUUCGAAAGUUCAACUCCAUCAUGGAAGAAAUUGGAAAGCUAAAUCCACAUGCUCGACAUUAUUUGGAGAGUCAUCCACUUAAUAGAUGGACACUUGCAUAUGAUGGUGGCAGGAGAUAUGGGUUACUCACAAUAAAUUUGUCAGAGAUUUUCAAUAGUGUACUUAAAAGUGCUCGAACCAAAGGGCUUGUAGCCCAGCGGUAUCAGGUGGUGCCCUCCCUCUUUGAGGUCGAGGGUUCAAGUCCCGUCGUGGACAUAGGUGGAAUAGAUGUUGUUAGCUUAGGAGUAGAUUAAAUUUGCCGGUUCAAAAAAAAAAAAAAAACUUAAAAGUGCUCGUUUUUUACCAAUCACAACUUGUGUGCAACUUACAUUCUAUAGAAUGGUGCAUUAUUUUGAGGUGAGACGUCCUUUAGGAUCUAGUUUUCAAGCUAAUGGAGAUGCACAUACUCCACAUGUUAUUGCAAAACAAGUAGCUUUGAUGGCAAAAGCAAGUGCACAUUCCUUGAAAUCUUUUAAUCGAGAAAAAGGUAUAUUUGAGUUGAUAACUAAAAAAGGUUGAAAUGUGCAAGUAGUUAAUUUGGAACAAAAAACUUGCAAAUGUGGUAAGUGGGAGGCAUUUAAAUAUCCUUGUUCUCAUGUUUUGAGUGCAUGUGUCAAACUCUCUUUGAAUAGUUGGCAAUAUGUUGAUAAAUGUUACUCGAUUGUAUAUUAUUGUGCUACUUGGGCAUCUGAGUUCUCCCCGCUUCCUCAUGAAGCAUAUUGGCGACAAUCAUCAUUUAAUGCAUUACUUCCAAAUUUAGAAUUAUUACGGAAUAAAAAAGGUUGGCCUCGUUCAACAAGAUUAAAAAAUGGUAUGGAUAUUAAAGAAGGAAGAAAUGCCACUCUUUGUGGAAUUUGUAGGCAACCAGAUCAUAAUCGAAAACGGUGUCCGUCUAAGUCAAGGUAAGGAUCUGUUACUGACUCAAGUUCAAGCUAAUUGUGAUGUUUUUCUUUUUGUAACAAACAAUAUUGGAGGUUUUUUUUUUUAAUUGUGGUGUUUUCCUUUUUUUAACAAACAAUAUUGGAGUUUUUUUUAAUUGUGGUGUUUUUUUUUAUA